Molecule: ribosomal RNA, 275 nt
Filed under: uncultured bacterium
Lineage: Bacteria
Description: partial 16S ribosomal RNA
Rfam family: Bacterial small subunit ribosomal RNA
Source: RNAcentral
CCUACGGGGGGCAGCAGUGGGGAAUUUUGGACAAUGGGCGAAAGCCUGAUCCAGCCAUUCCGCGUGAGUGAAGAAGGCCUUCGGGUUGUAAAGCUCUUUCGGCAGGAACGAAACGGUGGGCUCUAACAUAGUCUGCUAAUGACGGUACCUGAAGAAGAAGCACCGGCUAACUACGUGCCAGCAGCCGCGGUAAUACGUAGGGUGCGAGCGUUAAUCGGAAUUACUGGGCGUAAAGCGUGCGCAGGUGGUUGUUUAAGACAGAUGUGAAAUCCCCG